CAAACCAAAAGACUGGCGACCGGCGCACGGGUGAGUAACACGUAUCCAACCUGCCUCAUACUCGGGGAUAGCCUUUCGAAAGAAAGAUUAAUAUCCGAUAGCAUAUAUUUCCCGCAUGGGUUUUAUAUUAAAGAAAAUUCGGUAUGAGAUGGGGAUGCGUUCCAUUAGUUUGUUGGGGGGGUAACGGCCCACCAAGACUACGAUGGAUAGGGGUUCUGAGAGGAAGGUCCCCCACAUUGGAACUGAGACACGGUCCAA
Molecule: ribosomal RNA, 258 nt
Filed under: uncultured bacterium
Lineage: Bacteria
Description: partial 16S ribosomal RNA
Rfam family: Bacterial small subunit ribosomal RNA
Source: RNAcentral